UACGAAGGGGGCUAGCGUUGCUCGGAUUUACUGGGCGUAAAGCGCACGUAGGCGGCUCGUUAAGUUGGGGGUGAAAUCCUGGAGCUCAACUCCAGAACUGCCUUCAAUACUGGCGAUCUAGAGUCCGGAAGAGGUGAGUGGAACUCCUAGUGUAGAGGUGGAAUUCGUAGAUAUUAGGAAGAACACCAGUGGCGAAGGCGGCUCACUGGUCCGGUACUGACGCUGAGGUGCGAAAGCGUGGGGAGCAAACAGG
RNAcentral lists this ribosomal RNA (253 nucleotides) under uncultured bacterium. Its description in RNAcentral is "partial 16S ribosomal RNA". It matches the Rfam family "Bacterial small subunit ribosomal RNA", at positions 524 to 776 of the family's 1533-position model. The record is from RNAcentral.